RNAcentral lists this ribosomal RNA (253 nucleotides) under uncultured bacterium. RNAcentral's name for it is "partial 16S ribosomal RNA". It matches the Rfam family "Bacterial small subunit ribosomal RNA", at positions 524 to 776 of the family's 1533-position model. The record is from RNAcentral.
UACGUAGGGUGCCAGCGUUGUCCGGAAUUAUUGGGCGUAAAGAGCUCGUAGGCGGUUUGUCGCGUCUGCUGUGAAAACCCAGGGCUUAACCCUGGGCCUGCAGUGGGUACGGGCACACUAGAGUGCGGUAGGGGAGAUCGGAAUUCCUGGUGUAGCGGUGAAAUGCGCAGAUAUCAGGAGGCACACCGGUGGCGAAGGCGGAUCUCUGGGCCGUAACUGACGCUGAGGAGCGAAAGCAUGGGUAGCGAACAGG